RNAcentral lists this ribosomal RNA (253 nucleotides) under uncultured bacterium. RNAcentral's name for it is "partial 16S ribosomal RNA". It matches the Rfam family "Bacterial small subunit ribosomal RNA", at positions 524 to 776 of the family's 1533-position model. The record is from RNAcentral.
UACGUAGGGGGCGAGCGUUGUCCGAAGUUACUGGGCGUAAAGGGCGCGUAGGCUGUGCUGUAAGUCAGGCGUGAAAGCCCCGGGCUCAACCUGGGAAUUGCGCUUGAUACUGCGGCGCUGGAAGGUGGGAGAGGAUGGCGGAAUUCCCAGUGUAGAGGUGAAAUUCGUAGAUAUUGGGAAGAACACCGGUGGCGAAGGCGGCCAUCUGGCCCAUUUUUGACGCUGAGGCGCGAAAGCGUGGGGAGCAAACAGG